This is a non-coding RNA of Phrynosoma platyrhinos (Desert horned lizard), 74 nucleotides long. The record is from the annotation of a GenBank genome assembly. Lineage: Eukaryota; Metazoa; Chordata; Lepidosauria; Squamata; Phrynosomatidae.
GGAUUUGUGGCUUAGUGGUUUGAGUAUUGGAUUAUAUGACUCUGGAGACCAGGGUUCGAUUCCCAGCUCAGCCA